RNAcentral lists this ribosomal RNA (568 nucleotides) under uncultured Carnobacteriaceae bacterium. Its description in RNAcentral is "bacterial SSU rRNA". It matches the Rfam family "Bacterial small subunit ribosomal RNA", at positions 207 to 768 of the family's 1533-position model. Lineage: Bacteria; Bacillati; Bacillota; Bacilli; Lactobacillales; Carnobacteriaceae. The record is from RNAcentral.
CUUUGCUACCACUCAUGGAUAGCCUCGCGGCGUAUUAGCUAGUUGGUAAGGUAAUGGCUUACCAAGGCAGUGAUACGUAGCCGACUUGAGAGGGUGAUCGGCCACACUGGGACUGGGACACGGCCCAGACUCCUACGGGAGGCAGCAGUAGGGAAUCUUCCACAAUGGGUGCAAACCUGAUGGAGCAAUGCCGCGUGAGUGAAGAAGGUCUUCGGAUCGUAAGGCUCUGUUGUUAGAGAAGAACACGUGCUAGGUAACUACUAGCGCCUUGACGGUAUCUAACCAGAAAGUCACGGCUAACUACGUGCCAGCAGCCGCGGUAAUACGUAGGUGACAAGCGUUGUCCGGAUUUAUUGGGCGUAAAGGGAGCGCAGGCGGUCUGUUUAGUCUAAUGUGAAAGCCCACGGCUUAACCGUGGAACGGCAUUGGAAACUGACAGACUUGAAUGUAGAAGAGGAAAAUGGAAUUCCAAGUGUAGCGGUGGAAUGCGUAGAUAUUUGGAGGAACACCAGUGGCGAAGGCGAUUUUCUGGUCUAACAUUGACGCUGAGGCUCGAAAGCGUGGGGAG